This 775-nucleotide ribosomal RNA is filed under the name uncultured Neocallimastigales. RNAcentral describes it as "partial large subunit ribosomal RNA". It matches the Rfam family "Eukaryotic large subunit ribosomal RNA", at positions 22 to 649 of the family's 3401-position model. The record is from RNAcentral. Lineage: Eukaryota; Fungi; Neocallimastigomycota; Neocallimastigomycetes; Neocallimastigales.
ACACCUGACGUCGCGACGCAUAUCAAUAAGCGGAGGAAAAGAAACUAACUAGGAUUCCCUUAGUAACGGCGAGUGAAGCGGGAAGAGCUCAAAUUUGAGAUCUUCAAGGUUCUACCUUGACGAAUUGUAGUUUAAAGAAGUGUUUUCUGUUGGAGUUUUGGUAAAAGUUCUUUGGAAUAGGACAUCAUAGAGGGUGAGAAUCCCGUACUUGACCAUUUCUUCCAGCUGUGUGAUACACUUUCAAAGAGUCGGAUUGUUUGGGAAUGCAGUCCAAAAUGGGUGGUAAAUUUCAUCUAAAGCUAAAUAUUGGCGAGAGACCGAUAGCGAACAAGUACCGUGAGGGAAAGAUGAAAAGAAUUUUGAAAAGAGAGUUAAACAGUACGUGAAAUUGUCAAAAGGGAAGCGUUUGACACCAGUGUUGUUUUCUCGAAAAUCAAUUAAAAGGAGCCGGAUUUUGUGUUGUUAAGACUUUAUCAGCUUACUGCACUUUUUUCUUGUUCUUUUUAAUGCACUUUUCGUUUAACAAGUCAACAUCAAUUUCUUUUGUUGUAAAAGGGUCAUUGGAAGGUGGCUUUCAUUUCGGUGAAAGUGUUUAUAGCCUUUGACCUCUGCAAUCGGAGAGAUUGAGGUCUGCAGCGUAGAUCCUUCGGGGUUAGAUACAUUUGUGCUAAGUUAUAGUUUUUCAUAGACAACUUGUUGACUAUGAUUAAUCAUGUAGCUUACUCGCUUAUGCUAUUUUACCUACGCUUAGGAUGUUGAGUAGCGACAUACGCAC